Molecule: long non-coding RNA, 958 nt
Organism: Leucoraja erinaceus (little skate)
Lineage: Eukaryota; Metazoa; Chordata; Chondrichthyes; Rajiformes; Rajidae
Exons: 2
Source: RefSeq, a predicted model, not a curated record
CUCCUCCUCCUCGGGAUCGGGCAGCUUCAUCAGCACCUUCAUCUUCAUCAAGUUAAAGCGAUGUCCACCACCCAAGAGAAAAAUAUACAAGACACAAACAGUUCGUUAAUUAACUGGAAGCAUCCACUCCACACACUCAAUUGUGGACUUUGACUAUUUACAUGGUGUCAGAAGUGGAAUUCGAACCCACGCCUCCAAUCGAAGCUGACCAGCGCUCCCACCUUGACAUUUUUCAACCUGAAGCAUAUCCCGGAGAAACAUAACAUACAGAAACGAUUUCAAACCACUUAAACCAUUACUACUGGGCCAAGUCAUUCGUUUGCAAACUUCCAUGGGACAUUCCCAUUUGGGUUGCGUUGUUGGCCUGGCUGAAGAACCACGAUCUUACCUUGUUGACUUUGAUGGCACCCUGUACCAUCAGAGCCGCCAACACUUGCUAGCUUUGAAGGAGCCACGUCCACCACCAGCCGAUCCUUAUGCUCCACCUCUAUUAUUUCAGCCAUCUGCUGCCGCCACCAGUUCCAGCAUGUCCCUGACCCCACCACGACUGGCGGCUAUGACUAACCACAAUACUACCUCUCCUGCAUGCUCCCCCUGUCGGUCACCACGGAUGUCCCCUGCUGCUUUCUCACUUCCGGGUUCACCACCUCCUUUUAAUCUUUCUGGCGAAGGGGGAGAGGGCUUGGUAGACCGCCUGACAGAUACGACGAGUAUGUUUGAAUUCUUGCUAUAUGUGUGUUUACGAUAUUCACUCUUUACGGGGAAGGAUGUAGAUUGGUUUAUGCAUGAAAGCCAAUCAUAGUAGAAUAGCAUCACUAACCCCACCCUAUUGUAUGAUUCAUACUAACACCCACUUCCUACACUAGUCAGUCUUGGAAGCGGUCACGAUGUACUAACAACCAACGACCUGCUGUACCGUUAUAAUAUCGGUACUGAUUAAAGAUGAUCUUGAACUACA